RNAcentral lists this ribosomal RNA (492 nucleotides) under uncultured bacterium. Its description in RNAcentral is "partial 16S ribosomal RNA". It matches the Rfam family "Bacterial small subunit ribosomal RNA", at positions 29 to 507 of the family's 1533-position model. The record is from RNAcentral.
AGUGAACGCUGGCGGUAGGCCUAACACAUGCAAGUCGAACGGCAGCACAGUAAGAGCUUGCUCUUACGGGUGGCGAGUGGCGGACGGGUGAGGAAUACAUCGGAAUCUACUUUUUCGUGGGGGAUAACGUAGGGAAACUUACGCUAAUACCGCAUACGACCUACGGGUGAAAGCAGUGGAUCUUCGGACCUUGCGCGAUUGAAUGAGCCGAUGUCGGAUUAGCUAGUUGGCGGGGUAAAGGCCCACCAAGGCGACGAUCCGUAGCUGGUCUGAGAGGAUGAUCAGCCACACUGGAACUGAGACACGGUCCAGACUCCUACGGGAGGCAGCAGUGGGGAAUAUUGGACAAUGGGCGCAGGCCUGAUCCAGCCAUACCGCGUGGGUGAAGAAGGCCUUCGGGUUGUAAAGCCCUUUUGUUGGGAAAGAAAAGCAGCAGGUUAAUACCCCGCUGUUCUGACGGUACCCAAAGAAUAAGCACCGGCUAACUUCGUG